RNAcentral lists this ribosomal RNA (403 nucleotides) under uncultured bacterium. RNAcentral describes it as "partial 16S ribosomal RNA". It matches the Rfam family "Bacterial small subunit ribosomal RNA", at positions 28 to 526 of the family's 1533-position model. The record is from RNAcentral.
GACGAACGCUGGCGGCGUGCUUAACACAUGCAAGUCGAACGAGUGGCGAACGGGUGAGUAACGCGUAUCAACUGCCCUUCAGAGGGGGACAACAGUUGGAAACGACUGCUAAUAUCGCAUACUGUCGGAUACCACCUAGGGGAUAAGCUAGUAGGUAAGGUAAUGGCUUAACUAGGCUACGAUCCAUAGCUGGUCUGAGAGGAUGAUCAGCCACACGGGGACUGAGACACGGCCCAGACUCCUACGGAGGCAGCAGUGGGGAAUAUUGCACAAUGGACGCAAGCCUGAUGCAGCAAAGCCGCGUGUAUGAAGAAGGCCCUAGGGUUGUAAAGUACUUUCAGUAGGGAAGCGUUACCGACAGAGGAAGCACCGGCUAACUCCGUGCCAGCAGCCGCGGUAAUAC